Molecule: long non-coding RNA, 1354 nt
Organism: Pleuronectes platessa (European plaice)
Lineage: Eukaryota; Metazoa; Chordata; Actinopteri; Pleuronectiformes; Pleuronectidae
Exons: 2
Source: RefSeq, a predicted model, not a curated record
CUAAGGAUAAAUCACUAAGAGUGAACUAAGAGUGACGCGCCGUUGCUAUGGAUGACGUUGAUUCUCGUGCACGAGUUUAGAAGCGGUCAGUGCGGUGAUUGGUUGUUCAGACGAGCCCACUAAAUUACCGAAAAACAAGGAAAUAGACUAGGCUAGAAAUGAAUUCCUAUGAAGUAGUUAUGGACAGUGCAGUUAGCAGAAUACACGCAUGAUGACAAGUUUGUGCAGACCACGAUAAUGACGUUGUAGCCUGCACGUUCAAGAGAGAGAGAGAAAGCAAACAAUAAAAAUACGUAAAUUGCUUUCAAUCAAGGAGGCAAUUAAAAGCACCCUGCAAAAUACUAUCCAAUGAGCAUUUUUCAGCACUUAAAACACUUUAAAUAACAGCCCAUACCGCCGUUCAAGUCCCCCUAUCAUGAUGGAUGUUGAAAACGUGAAACGCAAGCGAAAGGCCAAUUGGUCCCAGGACCAAUUGUUACUACUUGCCCAGUUUGUGCUGGAGCGGAGGGGGGUAAUAAAGGGUAGAUUCGGGGCUGGAGUGACCAGUAAGAAGAAGCGGGAGGCAUGGGAAGAAAUAUGCGUAAACAUAAAUGCUUCCUUCCCUGCUGUUUGUCGCUCUACCGACGAUUGCGAAAGACGUUGGUAUGCCCUGCAAUCACAGUGUAGGUUUGAGAUUGCCGACUAUAAAAGAGCUGUUGCGGCUACAGGUAAGUCCAUUAUUAUCAUUGCUUGCAUUCAUUUGGGAAAUGCAUUUGCAUGUCUUAAAUUUACAAUUAACAAAGGCUACAGUGAUAUGAAACGUGAAUGAAACUGAAAUUUAAUUUGUUGGAGGAGGAUCUGCACCAAAGCCGUUGUCCCCGGUCGCAUCGGUGGUGUACGCCGUCCUAGGCUCGGACGCAAGCAUUACUGGCCUUCAGGGUGCAGCUGAUCCUGCAGUCGAGUUGCUAAAGGAGAUUGAGGGGAGAAAUGAAGAUGAAAGUCCAGCUGCAGCAUCACAUCACACAGCUCUUCCUCUUCUCCCCCUCCUAGCCCUUCCUCUGCCAGCUCUUCCUCUUCCAGCAGCACCUCCUCUCACAGCUCUUCCUCUCCCAGCUGCACCUCCUCUCACAGCUCUUCCUCUUCCACCCCUUUCUCUUCCAACUCUCCCUCUUGGUGCACCCACUGGCUCUCCUCUCCCUCCUGCUGCUGGUACCAGUUCACUGUACGAGAAGAAAUUGAGGAUGGAAAUGAGGGUUUUAAAAAGGCAAAGAAAGGUCCUCAAAGCGAAAGAGUGGCUAAUAAAAAUGAAGACAGAAUAUUACAGUCUUAAGAUCGAAAAGUUGAAAAAUUGAAAAAAUAAAUGUUAUGAACUACA